AGUGAACGCUGGCGGUAGGCCUAACACAUGCAAGUCGAACGGCAGCACAGUAAGAGCUUGCUCUUACGGGUGGCGAGUGGCGGACGGGUGAGGAAUACAUCGGAAUCUACUUUUUCGUGGGGGAUAACGUAGGGAAACUUACGCUAAUACCGCAUACGACCUACGGGUGAAAGCAGGGGAUCUUCGGACCUUGCGCGAUUGAAUGAGCCGAUGUCGGAUUAGUUAGUUGGCGGGGUAAAGGCCCACCAAGGCGACAAUCCGUAGCUGGUCUGAGCGGAUGAUCAGCCAGACGGGAACUGAGACACGGUCCAGACUCCUACAGGAGGCAGCGGUGGGGAAUAUUGGGCAAUGGGCGCAAGCCUGAUCCAGCCAUACCGCGUGAGUGAAGAAGGCGUUCUGGUUGUAAAGCCCUUUUGUUGGGAAAGAAAAGCAGCAGGUUAAUACCCCGCUGUUCUGACGGUACCCAAAGAAUAAGCACCGGCUAACUUCGUG
RNAcentral lists this ribosomal RNA (492 nucleotides) under uncultured bacterium. RNAcentral's name for it is "partial 16S ribosomal RNA". It matches the Rfam family "Bacterial small subunit ribosomal RNA", at positions 29 to 507 of the family's 1533-position model. The record is from RNAcentral.